CCUACGGGAGGCAGCAGUGGGGAAUAUUGGACAAUGGGCGAAAGCCUGAUCCAGCCAUGCCGCGUGUGUGAAGAAGGCCUUCGGGUUGUAAAGCACUUUCAGUGGGGAAGAAAGCCUUGGGGCUAAUACCCUCGAGGAAGGACAUCACCCACAAAAGAAGCACCGGCUAACUCCGUGCCAGCAGCCGCGGUAAUACGGAGGGUGCGAGCGUUAAUCGGAAUUACUGGGCGUAAAGCGCGCGUAGGCGGUCUGAUAAGCCGGUUGUGAAAGCCCCGGGCUCAACCUGGGAACGGCAUCCGGAACUGUCAGGCUAGAGUGCAGGAGAGGAAGGUAGAAUUCCCGGUGUAGCGGUGAAAUGCGUAGAGAUCGGGAGGAAUACCAGUGGCGAAGGCGGCCUUCUGGACUGACACUGACGCUGAGGUGCGAAAGCGUGGGUAGCAAACAGGAUUAGAUACCCUAGUAGUC
RNAcentral lists this ribosomal RNA (465 nucleotides) under Vreelandella stevensii. RNAcentral's name for it is "partial 16S ribosomal RNA". It matches the Rfam family "Bacterial small subunit ribosomal RNA", at positions 338 to 795 of the family's 1533-position model. The record is from RNAcentral. Lineage: Bacteria; Pseudomonadati; Pseudomonadota; Gammaproteobacteria; Oceanospirillales; Halomonadaceae.